RNAcentral lists this ribosomal RNA (460 nucleotides) under uncultured bacterium. RNAcentral's name for it is "partial 16S ribosomal RNA". It matches the Rfam family "Bacterial small subunit ribosomal RNA", at positions 338 to 795 of the family's 1533-position model. The record is from RNAcentral.
CCUACGGGAGGCUGCAGUGAGGAAUAUUGGUCAAUGGACGAGAGUCUGAACCAGCCAAGUAGCGUGAAGGAUGACUGCCCUAUGGGUUGUAAACUUCUUUUAUAUGGGAAUAAAACAGGGUAUGCAUACCCUCUUGUAUGUACCAUAUGAAUAAGGAUCGGCUAACUCCGUGCCAGCAGCCGCGGUAAUACGUAGGAGGCAAGCGUUAUCCGGAAUGACUGGGCGUAAAGGGUGCGUAGGUGGUUUGACAAGUUAGUAGCGCAACUCCGGAGCUCAACUUCGGAACUACUACUAAAACUGUUGGACUUGAGUGCAGGAGGGGCAAUCGGAAUUCCUAGUGUAGCGGUGGAAUGCGUAGAUAUUAGGAGGAACACCAGUGGCGAAGGCGGAUUGCUAGACUGUAACUGACACUGAGGUACGAAAGCGUGGGGAGCAAACAGGAUUAGAUACCCCUGUAGUC